GGGCCUGUAGCAUAGUCUGGCUAGUGCACCCGACUGAUAAUCGGGAGGUCCGCAGUUCAAAUCUGCGCAGGCCCA
Molecule: transfer RNA, 75 nt
Filed under: Nanobdellota archaeon
Lineage: Archaea; Nanobdellati; Nanobdellota
Description: tRNA-Ile
Rfam family: tRNA
About the family: Transfer RNA (tRNA) molecules are approximately 80 nucleotides in length. Their secondary structure includes four short double-helical elements and three loops (D, anti-codon, and T loops).
Source: RNAcentral